GGCUGAAGGUGCUGGAGGCAGAGGAUAAGAAGGGAGGUGGCCCCUGUUGGCUCCGAUAAGCAGCUUGGACACCAGCCCUGAAGCAGGGAAAAGACAGAUGUACUAAUUGUCAUGGAUGGCAAACUGUGCCCCCAAACUUGUACCAAGCCUCAAAGCCUUGGUUUAAUACUCCUGAAGGAGUAAUAGACCCAAUGUGACAUUUUGCAUGCAGGAACCCCUUAACAGCUACCUCCAUAUUAUGCGUGCUUCAUGAAUGGAGACACCUACGUUAUAUGAAGUUCUCUAUUGGGCUGUAAACUUCCUGAGACAGGCCUUCUGGGAAAUUACUCUCUACAUCCCAGGACUGCAAUGUCCAGUGCAGACCCGUGCAUUUAGAUGUUUCCAAAAUAGCAGUUGUUUCCGCGGCAUUAUGUUCUGCUGGCCUAGAGGUCUUAGUUCCAGAGGGAGGAAUGCUGCCACCAAGAGACACAACAAUGAUUCCAUUAAACUGGAAGUUAAGAUUGCCACCUGGCCACUUUGGGCUCUUCUUACUUUUAAGCCAACUUGCUAAGAAGGGAGUUACAGUGUUUGACCCAGACUAUCAAGAUGAAAUCAGUCUACUACUCCACAAUGGCGGUAAGGAAGUAUGCGUGGAAUACAGGAGAUCACGUAGGGCGUCUCUUAAUAUUACCAUGCCCUGUGAUUAAGGUCAAUGGGAAACUGCAACAGCCCAAUCCAGGCAGGAUGACAAAUGGCCCAGACCCUUCAGGAAUGAAGGUUUGGGUCACUCCACCAGGUAAAAAAAACAUAAUCUGCUGAGGUGCUUGCUGAAGGCAAACGGAAUUCAGAAUGGGUAGUCAAAGAAGGUAGUCAUCAAUACGAACUAUGACCAUGUGACCAGCUGCAGAAAAUGAGGACUGUAAUUGUCAUGAGUAUUUCCUCCUCCUUUUGUUAGGAACAUGUUUGUGCAUAUAUACACUUGUAUUAAGAAAAUAUCUUCAUUUUAUUUCCUUUCUUUUGCCUUUAUCAUGUGACAUAAGACUUACUGACUUGAUAUCAGCACUUAAGUGUUGUUAACUCUAUGUAAUAGCAUUUGGGUUGGGGAUUGGUGCGUUUCCGGUUGUACAAAGGAUAGCUGUAUUAUGUUAAGCGUAAUUAUGACCUUAUUAUUGUCUUUAUUUGAAGAUCAUGUAUGAUUUCAGGAGACGUGUAUGGGUUCAAGUUGACAAGGGGUGGACUGGUGAUGGUUAAUAUUGUCAACUAGAUUGGAUUGAAAGAUGCAAAGUAUUGUUCCUGGGUGUGUCUGUGAGGGUAUUGCCAAAGGCGAUUAACAUUUGAGUCAAUGGACUAGGAAAGGCAGACCCACCUCAAUCUGGAUGGGCACAAUGUAAUCAACUGUCAGCUAGGCCAGAAUAAAAGCAGACAGAAGAACGUGGAAAGACCAGACUGGUUUAGCCUCUGAGCCUACGUCUUUCUCCCAUGCUGGACGCUUCCUGCCCUCGAAUAUUGAACUCCAAGGUCUUCAACUUUGGGAUUCGGACUGGCUUCCUUGCCCCUCAGCUUGCAGGCAGCCUACUGUGGGACCUCAUCUGGUGAUCAUCUGAGUCAAUAUUCCGUAAUAACUCUGAUUUAUAUAUACAUCUAUCCUAUUAGUUCUAUCCCGCUAGAGAACUCUGAUUAAUAGAGCAGUUGAGUUGCAUCUUCAGACAUGAACCAAGUGUCUGGCUUUGGUCUCAAAGAGACUGAAUUAGACUCUUAGCUCUGCCAAUUACUUGGCAGGAACCACUAGGCAAAUUACUGAUAAUCUUUGUGCCUUAGUCUUACUCUUCUGCUAAAUGAAGCUAAUAAUAUUUAUUAUUAUUAGCUCAUGGAGAUGCAGAAUAAAGUGAGAUAACAUUUAAAUGCCUGAAAAAUGCCUGGCACAUGAUAGGCAGUAAACAGUAGUGUCAUUUCAAAACAACAUUCUCGCCAGGUGCGGUGGUUCACGCCUGUAAUCCCAGCACUUUGGGAGGC
Homo sapiens (human) is the source of this 1992-nucleotide long non-coding RNA. Ensembl annotates it as MIR130A host gene. Its record names the gene MIR130AHG. The record is from Ensembl. NCBI's taxonomy places the organism in Eukaryota, Metazoa, Chordata, Mammalia, Primates, Hominidae.